This 497-nucleotide ribosomal RNA is filed under the name uncultured bacterium. RNAcentral's name for it is "partial 16S ribosomal RNA". It matches the Rfam family "Bacterial small subunit ribosomal RNA", at positions 28 to 507 of the family's 1533-position model. The record is from RNAcentral.
GAUGAACGCUGGCGGCGUGCCUAAUACAUGCAAGUCGAGCGAACAGACGAGGAGCUUGCUCCUCUGACGUUAGCGGCGGACGGGUGAGUAACACGUGGAUAACCUACCUAUAAGACUGGGAUAACUUCGGGAAACCGGAGCUAAUACCGGAUAAUAUAUUGAACCGCAUGGUUCAAUAGUGAAAGACGGUUUUGCUGUCACUUAUAGAUGGAUCCGCGCCGCAUUAGCUAGUUGGUAAGGUAACGGCUUAUCAAGGCAACGAUGCGUAGCCGACCUGAGAGGGUGAUCGGCCACACUGGAACUGAGACACGGUCCAGACUCCUACGGGAGGCAGCAGUAGGGAAUCUUCCGCAAUGGGCGAAAGCCUGACGGAGCAACGCCGCGUGAGUGAUGAAGGUCUUCGGAUCGUAAAACUCUGUUAUUAGGGAAGAACAAAUGUGUAAGUAACUAUGCACGUCUUGACGGUACCUAAUCAGAAAGCCACGGCUAACUACGUG